UCCGAGUUGGUCUAGUGGUGAUGAUUUCCGCUUGUCACUGUUCAAAGGCAGAACGAGCGCGGGAGACCGGGGUUCGAUUCCCCGACUCGGAG
Molecule: non-coding RNA, 92 nt
Organism: Ascosphaera atra
Lineage: Eukaryota; Fungi; Ascomycota; Eurotiomycetes; Onygenales; Ascosphaeraceae
Source: the annotation of a GenBank genome assembly